CAGAAACUCAAAGGAAGUUGACGGGGCCCGCACAAGCGGAGGAGCAUGUGGUUUAAUUCGAUGAUACGCGAGGAACCUUACCUGGGCUCGAACGUAAGAUGACUGUAGGUGAAAGCUUACAUCUCUUCGGAGCAUUUUACGAGGUGCUGCAUGGUUGUCGUCAGCUCGUGCCGUGAGGUGUCGGGUUAAGUCCCAUAACGAGCGCAACCCUACCUUUAGUUGCCAUCAGGUAAUGCUGGGGACUCUAAAGGAACUGCCUACGCAAGUAGUGAGGAAGCGGGGAUGACGUCAAAUCAGCACGGCCCUUACGUCCAGGGCUACACACGUGCUACAAUGGCCGAUACAGAGGGCAGCUACCUGGUGACAGGAUGCAAAUCUCCAAAGUCGGUCUCAGUUCGGAUCGGAGUCUGCAACCCGACUCCGUGAAGUUGGAUUCGCUAGUAAUCGCGCAUCAGCCAUGGCGCGGUGAAUACGUUCCCGGGCCUU
Molecule: ribosomal RNA, 486 nt
Filed under: uncultured Sphingobacteriales bacterium
Lineage: Bacteria; Pseudomonadati; Bacteroidota; Sphingobacteriia; Sphingobacteriales
Description: bacterial SSU rRNA
Rfam family: Bacterial small subunit ribosomal RNA
Source: RNAcentral